AGGACGAACGCUGGCGGCGUGCUUAACACAUGCAAGUCGAACGGUAAGGCCCCUUCGGGGGUACACGAGUGGCGAACGGGUGAGUAACACGUGGGUAAUCUGCCCUGCACUUCGGGAUAAGCCUGGGAAACUGGGUCUAAUACCGGAUAUGAACUCCUGCCGCAUGGUGGGGGUUGGAAAGUUUUUCGGUGCAGGAUGAGCCCGCGGCCUAUCAGCUUGUUGGUGGGGUAAUGGCCUACCAAGGCGACGACGGGUA
RNAcentral lists this ribosomal RNA (256 nucleotides) under uncultured soil bacterium. Its description in RNAcentral is "partial 16S ribosomal RNA". It matches the Rfam family "Bacterial small subunit ribosomal RNA", at positions 26 to 285 of the family's 1533-position model. The record is from RNAcentral.